GUAGGUAGGUACUUAACUAUCCUGUCAAUGGGAGGAAAGUCCGCACACUAUAAACGGUCGCUUACGUAAGUUAAGUUGGAGAAAUCCAAGGCAACCGCUCAGAAACGACACGUCCUUAUAUUGUUAUAAAGAUGUGGCAUGCGAAGUUUUCCGCGAGGGAAAUGAGUUAACCUGCUGAAUAGAUAUAGGGGAACGAUGAAACGGCGAGUCCCGAUUUGUGCAAGUCAGUGAGACGCUUAGUUGAAUGUUAAGGUGGUCUGUUCGAUUACGAAGACCAACAAGAUGCGGCUUAUUCCUACCUAC
This 303-nucleotide RNase P RNA is filed under the name archaeon. RNAcentral's name for it is "RNase P RNA component". It matches the Rfam family "Archaeal RNase P". From Rfam's summary of the family: Ribonuclease P (RNase P) is a ubiquitous endoribonuclease, found in archaea, bacteria and eukarya as well as chloroplasts and mitochondria. Its best characterised activity is the generation of mature 5'-ends of tRNAs by cleaving the 5'-leader elements of precursor-tRNAs. Cellular RNase Ps are ribonucleoproteins. The record is from RNAcentral.